GAGAGAGAGAGAGAGAGAGAGAGAGAGAGAGAGAGAGAGAAGUUAAAUAAUAUACCAAAAAUGAAAGAAAAUUGCUUUAAUUUAUCUAUUCUCUCCUCUCUUCCUCACGUUGCUCUCUUUAAU
Molecule: microRNA precursor, 123 nt
Filed under: Prunus dulcis (almond)
Lineage: Eukaryota; Viridiplantae; Streptophyta; Magnoliopsida; Rosales; Rosaceae
Description: sRNA ncRNA
Source: RNAcentral